This 1703-nucleotide ribosomal RNA is filed under the name Salmonella enterica. Its description in RNAcentral is "partial 23S ribosomal RNA". It matches the Rfam family "Bacterial large subunit ribosomal RNA", at positions 1200 to 2803 of the family's 2925-position model. Lineage: Bacteria; Pseudomonadati; Pseudomonadota; Gammaproteobacteria; Enterobacterales; Enterobacteriaceae. The record is from RNAcentral.
CUGCGGCAGCGAACGUAUCACUUAAAGCGAUUCAGCGGGUUACGAUUGACGGAGCGAAGCGACGUCAAAGCGUAUACAAAGUCGAGUCGGUUUAAGGAUACGUUCGUUGGGUAGGGGAGCGUUCUGUAAGCCUGUGAAGGUGUGUCGUGAGGCAUGCUGGAGGUAUCAGAAGUGCGAAUGCUGACAUAAGUAACGAUAAAGCGGGUGAAAAGCCCGCUCGCCGGAAGACCAAGGGUUCCUGUCCAACGUUAAUCGGGGCAGGGUGAGUCGACCCCUAAGGCGAGGCCGAAAGGCGUAGUCGAUGGGAAACGGGUUAAUAUUCCCGUACUUGGUGUUACUGCGAAGGGGGGACGGAGAAGGCUAUGUUGGCCGGGCGACGGUUGUCCCGGUUUAAGCGUGUAGGUGUGUGUUCCAGGUAAAUCCGGUUCACUUUAACACUGAGGCGUGACGACGAGGCACUACGGUGCUGAAGCAACAAAUGCCCUGCUUCCAGGAAAAGCCUCUAAGCAUCAGGUAACAUCAAAUCGUACCCCAAACCGACACAGGUGGUCAGGUAGAGAAUACCAAGGCGCUUGAGAGAACUCGGGUGAAGGAACUAGGCAAAAUGGUGCCGUAACUUCGGGAGAAGGCACGCUGACACGUAGGUGAAGUGAUUUACUCAUGGAGCUGAAGUCAGUCGAAGAUACCAGCUGGCUGCAACUGUUUAUUAAAAACACAGCACUGUGCAAACACGAAAGUGGACGUAUACGGUGUGACGCCUGCCCGGUGCCGGAAGGUUAAUUGAUGGGGUCAGCGCAAGCGAAGCUCCUGAUCGAAGCCCCGGUAAACGGCGGCCGUAACUAUAACGGUCCUAAGGUAGCGAAAUUCCUUGUCGGGUAAGUUCCGACCUGCACGAAUGGCGUAAUGAUGGCCAGGCUGUCUCCACCCGAGACUCAGUGAAAUUGAACUCGCUGUGAAGAUGCAGUGUACCCGCGGCAAGACGGAAAGACCCCGUGAACCUUUACUAUAGCUUGACACUGAACAUUGAGCCUUGAUGUGUAGGAUAGGUGGGAGGCUUUGAAGUGUGGACGCCAGUCUGCAUGGAGCCGACCUUGAAAUACCACCCUUUAAUGUUUGAUGUUCUAACGUGGACCCGUGAUCCGGGUUGCGGACAGUGUCUGGUGGGUAGUUUGACUGGGGCGGUCUCCUCCUAAAGAGUAACGGAGGAGCACGAAGGUUGGCUAAUCCUGGUCGGACAUCAGGAGGUUAGUGCAAUGGCAUAAGCCAGCUUGACUGCGAGCGUGACGGCGCGAGCAGGUGCGAAAGCAGGUCAUAGUGAUCCGGUGGUUCUGAAUGGAAGGGCCAUCGCUCAACGGAUAAAAGGUACUCCGGGGAUAACAGGCUGAUACCGCCCAAGAGUUCAUAUCGACGGCGGUGUUUGGCACCUCGAUGUCGGCUCAUCACAUCCUGGGGCUGAAGUAGGUCCCAAGGGUAUGGCUGUUCGCCAUUUAAAGUGGUACGCGAGCUGGGUUUAGAACGUCGUGAGACAGUUCGGUCCCUAUCUGCCGUGGGCGCUGGAGAACUGAGGGGGGCUGCUCCUAGUACGAGAGGACCGGAGUGGACGCAUCACUGGUGUUCGGGUUGUCAUGCCAAUGGCACUGCCCGGUAGCUAAAUGCGGAAGAGAUAAGUGCUGAAAGCAUCUAAGCACGAAACUUGCCCCGAG